RNAcentral lists this ribosomal RNA (119 nucleotides) under Meriones unguiculatus (Mongolian gerbil). The record is from RNAcentral. Lineage: Eukaryota; Metazoa; Chordata; Mammalia; Rodentia; Muridae.
GUCUACGGCCAUACCACCCUGAAUGCACCCAAUCUCGUCUGAUCUCGGAAGCUAAGCAGGGUCGGCCGUGGUUAGUACUUGGAUGGGAGACCACCUGGGAAUACCGGGUGCUGUAGGCU